CACGUUUAAUAUACCAAGCGCCCUUUCUAUUAUCAUUUUUUUGAAAUGAUUUUUCUCAACCACAAACCCUAGCUGCCUGAGAGAGAUUCCCUCUCUCUUCUUCCAUGUUGCCGGAAAUAGUAAAGAUUCAGGCGCAUAUUGCUUUAUUCAGUUAGUGUUCGACGGAUUUGAAAAUGUUUUUCCCUCUCUCCACCGCGUCUCCACCAACAAUAGGUAAAAUCCUCACCCUCUCUCUCUCCUUUUUGCUUUUUUUGCUCUCAAGGAGAAAAAUCCUUAAUGGUAUUUGUCUUACUAUUGCUCAAAAACACAAAUUUUCAUUGGUUCUUAGCUUAAAUCUUUCAAAAGAAAAGGAUAAAUCCAAGAAAUCUUCAAAAUUCCAAGGUCCCACAUUGAUUUCAAGAGAAAUCUGUGGGUUUUAGGGGUUCUAUAUAAAGAAGUCCUUAUUUCAUUGCAAAAACAAGUCUCAAUCGAGCAAAACCCCCAAAAUUUUAAGUUUCCAGCAAGGGAUCCGAUUAGAAUUGGAAUCCUUGCUUAGUUUACUUAAUUUUGGGAUCAGUCUAAUGUUUUCUUUAAUUUCGAUUUGUGUGUCGUGGCUGAGUUGGGUGCUAAGGAGCUCAAAGAUCUCCAAUGCCAAUUCUCGACAAAGGCUGCACAAAAGAAAGGAACACAAUAUAUAAGAUGGAGAGAUGAGAUAGAAAGGGAGAGGGGAUCGAGAGGGAGGAGAUCUAGAGGCCUCCAACGAUACAAUUAUUGCUUCUCAAUCAAAUCUAUCUGGCAUAUACAUAAUGUUUGUAGUUUAGAUAUAUUGAAUUGUUAUCAAAUAGAUUAGUUUAUGUUGAAUUUAGAUUUUAUGAUUACAUUUUAUUACAACAUCUCUUCUAUCGAU
This is a long non-coding RNA of Lycium ferocissimum, 886 nucleotides long. RefSeq lists it as uncharacterized. The transcript is spliced from 2 exons. Lineage: Eukaryota; Viridiplantae; Streptophyta; Magnoliopsida; Solanales; Solanaceae. The record is from RefSeq and is a predicted model, not a curated record.